Molecule: unclassified non-coding RNA, 202 nt
Filed under: uncultured Ascomycota
Lineage: Eukaryota; Fungi; Ascomycota
Description: sequence contains ITS1
Source: RNAcentral
CUGAGUGAAAGGCUUGAACAGAGCCCUCUCUCCCAACCCUUGUCUUCUGUACCCACUCUGCUUUGGCAGGCCCGCCACUAUUAGUGGCCGCUGAAGGAUUCUUAGUUAUAAGUUAUUAGCUAAACCUUGGGCCUGUGCCUGCCAGGGAACUUAAAUACAUGUUAUGAAACUGGUUUGUCUGAGAAUCCAAAGAAAAUAAACA